Long non-coding RNA from Physeter macrocephalus (sperm whale), 2504 nucleotides. RefSeq lists it as uncharacterized. Lineage: Eukaryota; Metazoa; Chordata; Mammalia; Artiodactyla; Physeteridae. The transcript has 2 exons. The record is from RefSeq and is a predicted model, not a curated record.
UGCAGGGCUGUGGCCCUCACCUUUUUUUCUGUGUGUAUUUGUAAAAUGUAAUAUUGUAAAACGUUAACGUCCGUUUUUGAGAAUUAUUAUUAAUUUUUAAAGUCGAAGUAGCACGUGUAUUUAGAACGUCAGAUAAUACUACAGACGUUCUAAUAAGUCAGUAGCCUCCUAUCCGUCCUGAGUCACGCACUCGAAAGGCAACCACUCGUCAUUCUUUCGACUGUGAUUCUCUUUCUGAUUUCUAAACAGCACGUCUUUUUGUUAUGUCUUGGAUUCUCAACUUUCGACGCCAUUGGCUGCUUCUUGGUGGUCUGGGUAGCCCCUCCCCCAGCCUCCGCCCAGCUCUUGCCGCGAGUGUCGGAUCAUCACGUUGGUCAAAGAUUCAGAGCCCCCGUUGUUGUCGCUAUCGCGCUUAUCACUGAUAUGUCAGAUUCUGCACCCAAAUUGAUAAACCCCUCUGAAAACAGGGUCACAGGUGUGAGGCCACCUGCCGCUUCCACUUCCUGGGAGAUGCCCCUCAGAUCCUGCCGUCCGUCCACCUGCAUCAGUUGUGCAGCCCGGGCUGGCCCGCCUCCCUCUGUGCUGGUCCUCCCGCGUCCCCCGUGUCCGCGUGUUCCCUGACCGCAGGCCUGCCGGCUCGGAGCGGCCCCCGGUGGCGCGCUUCUCACUGGGUCCUCGGCGGGUGGGCUCAGCAGGGCCCUGAGCUCGGAAGUUGCUGUCAGGUCUGCCUCCCUCUCUGGAGGCUCUGGGGAGGCUCUGCUUCCAGCUCUUUCAGAUGUUUGGCGGACUCCAGUUCCUGCGGUUUGGAGGGUUGGGGUCCUGCUUUCCUGCUGGCUGUGAGCCGGCGCCACGCUCGGCUCCCGGAGGGCAUCUUCAGAGCCAGCCGCGGGAGGUCUCACGCACUGGAUCCCUCUUGCUUUGAAUUCGAUGGCCAGAGUUAGCCCCGUCCUGAUUCAGGGCUCGCCUGAUUAGGUCAGGCCCGCCGAGGGUCACGGCCUUCAAGUCGCUGUGCCCUGCGAUGUGACCUAACCCCAGAGUGAAACCCACCCGCUCGCAGGCCCAGGGCUGUGCAACCGUCAUCGCCGGGAGCAGGGCCGGGGGGUGUCCUGGGACCAUCUUCGCCUUGCGCCUGCUGUGGAAUUGAGUGUCUUGCUCUUGACUUGUUCUUCUUUUGGUGGGACCAGACCCCCUCUGGCGUCGAGGAAGAGGAGGGGGUCUGGAGGCCCUGCCCCCAGCGUUCGGUGGCUGCCGAGCGAGCGCCAGCUGCGUGCGUGAUGGAGGUCUUGGCCCUGCCUCCAAGGUGUCUGCGUGGCGGGUGGGAGCCGGUCAGCUCUACUUUUCCUUCCUCUGUGCGUGGUCUGUUUCCUCCUCCCCGAGUCCCUCUGGAAUUUUUAGGAUCUCCUGAUAACUCUUCAGAGGUCUGAAAUUUCAUGGUUCGCUUCGAUGUACGUCUUUCCCCAUUCACUGUGCCUGGCGCGUUGAAGCUGGAGUUUCUGGAAGUUUUCUGGAUUGUUUUGGUUGAUUUCCUCCCCUCGUUUUGUCUUUUCUCUUUCUGAACCUCCUGUUGGAUGUUGGACCUGCUUUCUGAGAGACUUUUAAAUUUUCCAAUUAGAUCCUUGUUCCCAGAUUACCUUUCGUAGCAUCCCGUUGUGCUCCUGCUCCUCUGAGUGCGGUGUCACGGCGCUCUCUCUUUUCAAGCUCCUCUCUUUCCUUCACCCUCUUUUACUUUUCCUGCUUCUGUCUUGGCCUCUGUCGUUCACGUCGCAGGCUUUCCUCACGUCCCCGUCAGAGGCCCCGGGAGCUCACCGGCUGCUCUGUGCCUGGCGGGCCGUGCCCCCCACCGCCUGCGGCUGCCCCUCCUGCACAGCGUCCCGGGAGCCGAGUGGCGUGGGGCUGGGCCUGCCGUCCGGGGCUAGGACCGCGCCUCUGCUCCCUGCGCUCCGGGACACUGGGCUUCUCAGCUCCUGCAGCUCGCUCCCCUCCCUGCCCCACCCCCUCCGGCGUGGCCCUCGGGCCCCGGGGUCGUCCGGGCCGCCCUCCACGCACUCGGUCUCCACGGCGCUCUCCUCACCCUUCCAGCUGUUUGCCGUCCUCUGAGAAUUCGGUGCUGUCUCUCCCAGUUUUAUUUCCUUCAUUCUUUCUGUUUCUGCCUUCUCUGUUCCUUCGCCGUCGCAUGCGGGGGUUCCAGAAGGAGCAAAGGGGAGUGCGUGUUUUCGGCCGGUCUGCAUGGUCCUCUGCGAUCACCCGCCCAGCCGUCACUCCCAUGUGAUGGUCAUUCUGUGGCCACAGGAGACAGUGUCCGUCUUCCCUGUGUCCCGCACGGCCACGCCCCAGCGCCAGCAGGCUGCGGUUGUGUCCACUGACUGUCCCUGAGGCCAUGCACAGAGCUCUCCGGAAGCCUCCCUGCUCAUCAAGGGGUAUAUGGCUCCAGCUGCCAAGGACACUCGUUCUUUCCCUGGUUAGAGCUGUUUUUUCAGCAAACGUAAUCUUGCCUUUUGUUGCUG